RNAcentral lists this ribosomal RNA (484 nucleotides) under uncultured bacterium. RNAcentral describes it as "partial 16S ribosomal RNA". It matches the Rfam family "Bacterial small subunit ribosomal RNA", at positions 30 to 507 of the family's 1533-position model. The record is from RNAcentral.
AUUGAACGCUGGCGGCAGGCCUAACACAUGCAAGUCGAGCGGAUGAAGGGAGCUUGCUCCUGGAUUCAGCGGCGGACGGGUGAGUAAUGCCUAGGAAUCUGCCUGGUAGUGGGGGAUAACGUCCGGAAACGGGCGCUAAUACCGCAUACGUCCUGAGGGAGAAAGUGGGGGAUCUUAGGACCCCACGCUAUCAGAUGAGCCUAGGUCGGAUUAGCUAGUUGGUGGGGUAAAGGCCUACCAAGGCGACGAUCCGUAACUGGUCUGAGAGGAUGAUCAGUCACACUGGAACUGAGACACGGUCCAGACUCCUACGGGAGGCAGCAGUGGGGAAUAUUGGACAAUGGGCGAAAGCCUGAUCCAGCCAUGCCGCGUGUGUGAAGAAGGUCUUCGGAUUGUAAAGCACUUUAAGUUGGGAGGAAGGGCAGUAAGUUAAUACCUUGCUGUUUUGACGUUACCAACAGAAUAAGCACCGGCUAACUUCGUG